This 408-nucleotide ribosomal RNA is filed under the name uncultured bacterium. Its description in RNAcentral is "bacterial SSU rRNA". It matches the Rfam family "Bacterial small subunit ribosomal RNA", at positions 28 to 426 of the family's 1533-position model. The record is from RNAcentral.
GAUGAACGCUAGCGGCAGGCUUAAUACAUGCAAGUCGAGGGGCAGCACGGUUAGCAAUAACUGGUGGCGACCGGCGCACGGGUGCGUAACACGUAUACAAUCUACCUUAAACAGGGGGAUAGCCUUUCGAAAGAGAGAUUAAUACCCCGUAAUAAAUUGAACGGCAUCGUUUGAUUUUGAAAGCUCCGGCGGUUUGAGAUGAGUAUGCGUCUGAUUAGCUAGUUGGUGAGGUAACGGCUCACCAAGGCGACGAUCAGUAGGGGAUCUGAGAGGGACUAACCCCCCACACUGGUACUGAGACACGGACCAGACUCCUACGGGAGGCAGCAGUAAGGAAUAUUGGUCAAAUGGGAAGGCAAACUCUGAACCAGCCAUGCCGCGUGCAGGAUGACGGCCCUAUGGGGUUAG